Non-coding RNA from Cynocephalus volans (Philippine flying lemur), 156 nucleotides. RefSeq annotates it as small Cajal body-specific RNA 11. Lineage: Eukaryota; Metazoa; Chordata; Mammalia; Dermoptera; Cynocephalidae. The record is from RefSeq and is a predicted model, not a curated record. The transcript has a single exon.
CGGUCCUGUUUAGUAUUUGGAUGGGAGACCACCUAGGAAUACUGGGCACUGUGCGCUAAAAAAAAAAAAAAAGGUGGCAACAUGACAGGACAAUUUUUCAGUUUAGGAGGGCCGUCCUAAGAAUAGGGCUGGCUCUUAAAGGCAUAAGAGGACAAU